GGAGGCGCAUCUGUUCCGGUGAAUGGCACGGUCUUCAAAACCGUUUGUGAGCUUGUGAGAGCAAUCUUAGGUCGGUUCGACUCCGACACGCCUCCGCCA
Molecule: transfer RNA, 99 nt
Filed under: Pyrinomonadaceae bacterium
Lineage: Bacteria; Pseudomonadati; Acidobacteriota; Blastocatellia; Blastocatellales; Pyrinomonadaceae
Description: tRNA-Sec
Rfam family: Selenocysteine transfer RNA
Source: RNAcentral